RNAcentral lists this ribosomal RNA (443 nucleotides) under uncultured bacterium. RNAcentral describes it as "partial 16S ribosomal RNA". It matches the Rfam family "Bacterial small subunit ribosomal RNA", at positions 338 to 795 of the family's 1533-position model. The record is from RNAcentral.
CCUACGGGAGGCUGCAGUGAGGGAUAUUGGGCAAUGGGCGCAAGCCUGACCCAGCGACGCCGCGUGGAGGACGAAGGGCUUCGGCUCGUAAACUCCUUUUCCCGUGGACGAGAGAAGGACGGUACACGGGGAAUAAGUCUCGGCUAACUACGUGCCAGCAGCCGCGGUAAAACGUAGGAGGCGAGCGUUAUCCGGAAUCACUGGGCGUAAAGGGCGUCUAGGCGGCACGACAAGUGAGGUGUGAAAGCUCCUGGCUCAACUAGGAGAGUGCGCUUCAGACUGUCGAGCUUGGAGGGCAGGUGAAGGGGGUGGAAUUCCCGGUGGAGUGGUGGAAUGCGUAGAGAUCGGGAGGAACACCAGUGGCGAAAGCGGCCCCCUGGCCUGUUGCUGACGCUGAAGCGCGAAAGCGUGGGGAGCAAACGGGAUUAGAUACCCCGGUAGUC